Regulatory RNA element from Bacillus sp. B-jedd, 102 nucleotides. It matches the Rfam family "Purine riboswitch aptamer". Rfam says of the family: Riboswitches are metabolite binding domains within certain messenger RNAs that serve as precision sensors for their corresponding targets. NCBI's taxonomy places the organism in Bacteria, Bacillati, Bacillota, Bacilli, Caryophanales, Bacillaceae. The record is from Rfam.
ACAUCGAUAUAGUUUUACCCUUGUAUAAUUUUGGGGAUAUGGCCCAUAAGUUUCUACCUGGCGACCGUGAAUUGCCGGACUAUGAGGGAAAGUAGUGCAUGA